GACGAACGCUGGCGGCGUGCCUAAUACAUGCAAGUCGAGCGAAGUUUUUCUGGUGCUUGCACUAGAAAAACUUAGCGGCGAACGGGUGAGUAACACGUAAAGAACCUGCCUCAUAGACUGGGACAACUAUUGGAAACGAUAGCUAAUACCGGAUAACAGUAUUUCUCGCAUGAGAGAUAUUUAAAAGUUGGUUAUGCUAACACUAUGAGAUGGCUUUGCGGUGCAUUAGCUAGUUGGUGGGGUAAAGGCCCACCAAGGCGACGAUGCAUAGCCGACCUGAGAGGGUGAUCGGCCACACUGGGACUGAGACACGGCCCAGACUCCUACGGGAGGCAGCAGUAGGGAAUCUUCCGCAAUGGGCGAAAGCCUGACGGAGCAACGCCGCGUGAGUGAAGAAGGAUUUCGGGUCGUAAAGCUCUGUUGUUAGGGAAGAAUGGAUAUGUAGUAACUAUACAUGUAAGAGACGGUACCUAACCAGAAAGCCACGGCUAACUACGUG
RNAcentral lists this ribosomal RNA (499 nucleotides) under uncultured bacterium. Its description in RNAcentral is "partial 16S ribosomal RNA". It matches the Rfam family "Bacterial small subunit ribosomal RNA", at positions 28 to 507 of the family's 1533-position model. The record is from RNAcentral.